Molecule: transfer RNA, 82 nt
Filed under: Ehrlichia japonica
Lineage: Bacteria; Pseudomonadati; Pseudomonadota; Alphaproteobacteria; Rickettsiales; Anaplasmataceae
Description: tRNA-Leu (CAG) (tRNA-Leu-CAG-1-1)
Rfam family: tRNA
About the family: Transfer RNA (tRNA) molecules are approximately 80 nucleotides in length. Their secondary structure includes four short double-helical elements and three loops (D, anti-codon, and T loops).
Source: RNAcentral
GCCCGAAUGGCGGAACGGUAGACGCGCUAGCUUCAGGUGCUAGUAAUUUCAUAUUGUGGAAGUUCAACUCUUCUUUCGGGCA